Molecule: non-coding RNA, 13655 nt
Organism: Equus caballus (horse)
Lineage: Eukaryota; Metazoa; Chordata; Mammalia; Perissodactyla; Equidae
Source: RefSeq, a predicted model, not a curated record
CUUGGCUGUGCUCACUCAGUAUAAGCCAGGUUGGAAGGAAUAAGGAGAAGCCAAGAAAACGUGAACGAUGGAAAUGUGUAGAGCUACUGAGAUACCCCUAGGAACAGUAGUCCUACUUGUUUUCCUCAAAGUUCCUGGGCUUGCUGCAUCAAAAUCACUGAGGUGUUGUAAACACGAAGCUUCCAGGGACCAUUACAGGUCUAGUGAGGUUGACUUUCAGGAGCCAGAGCCCAUGAGUCAACACUUUUCACACUCCCCGAGCGCGUCUGAGGAGGACAAAGGUUUCAGAAGCUAUGUUAGAUGCUCAGUGAAAAAAACUGUUCCACCAUCACAUUUGUUGGAAAAUGCUACAGACUAUACUGCCCCUGACUUCCCUUGGAGAUUCCCGAUGUGUAUUAGCACGUGCUGGGUUCAGAUCAAUCCUGAGGCAAAGAGGCCUCUGUAGUCUGUGUAACACAGUGCUUCCCACACUGAUUUGAACACAGAAUCCUGUUCACAUAAAGCACCUUUGAACCUCCCUCAGACACAUUUUGGAAGCAAUGAAAUGCCCUAAUAGAACCUCUAUCACAAGUCAUUGGAGGACCCAACUCCCUACAUCUCACUUUUCUUCUCUUUUCCUGCCAUAAACCACCCAAACCAUUGUGAGAAGGAGGUGUGGUUCCCUGGGCACAGACAAAUGCACACAAGUACAAGAGAGUAACUACACUUAUUGUGUAAUUGGUUGCUUCUUAUAAUCAUAACUUGCUUUGGUUAUGCCCCGGAAGCAAUGUUGCAUAUUCCUUCCUCCCAUCUUCAUCAUUUACGUGUAAAUAUCAUAGCUUCAGAGGGGCUUUCCUUGAAUCCUACAAUGGAAACUGUAUACAGCCUUAAGCUUUCUCAGAGCACUCUUAACCUUUUCUUCAUUCGUACAUACCACAUUUAUAAUUAUAUAUUCCUUUGUGCAAAUGUGUGACUAAUGUCUCUCCCCACUAGACUGAACUCUAUGAGGGCAGGGGCUCUGGUCCAGCUUGUUCUCCUGGGGACUCAGGACUUAGCACCGUGCUUGGCAGACUGUAAGCACUCAACAAAUAUCUGUUGCUUGAGUGAAUUACAGAGUUUUAAUUUAGCAAUUCAUGUAGAACAUGAGAGUUGACACGAUUUAAACUUAGAGUGGUUCUGUCUGCACAUCAGAAUUUCCUGAAAAGCUUUUUAAAAACGCAAGGUUCUACCCAAGAUCUCCUAUCUGAGAAGGAGGAGAGGCACGUGUAGGAAUAAUAUGGCAGUCACUGGCUUACUGGAUGGAAAAAGGAGGGUACUCGUCCAUUUUAUUCUAGUCUCUUCUCCCAACUUGCUAUAGGUUUUGGGCAAGUCUCUGCAUGUUUUGGUGCCUUAAUUUCACUGUUCAGUAUAGUGGGAGUCCCACUUGCCACUCCAAAAUUACACCAUGAGAUGUCUACCUAAGCAUUUUGAAAUCCUAAAAUGAGAGGCGAUUCUGAAGUUCGUAUCGUGGUUACCAUAUCUAGCAUGGCGGGUUUCUAGCACAUGGCUGCGACUCUCGGGCUCUGCCAAAUGAUUUUUAAUAUAACUUCAGUAGGGAAGUUUUUUUACUGACACUGCCCCUUUAACAGAAAAAGGACUGCUCAACUUGUUAACCACUCUUUCUUACUUGACCUCUUGUUUUGUGGUGCAAAAGUUACACAAGCAGACCGUUAGACACAGACACGCAUGCUGGCCCGUUGGUGUUUUUUGCAGCGACAUCUAUCUCCAGCUAGGCAACCUGUGCCCAGAGCAGAUGAGAGCAUGCCUCGCCGACACCCUCAGGCAGGCCUCAGGGGCUCCCUGCCUGGGGCAGCUGCCGCAGCCGUGCUGAACUGGUCCAGCCCAGGUUGUCAGCAGCACAGGAAGCAGAGGGCACGACUAAUGUACAUGUCACCGUGUGGCUUAUGGUCACAGCCUCACCCUACCUUCGAGCCUGCACAAGCUGCAAGAGCAACAGGAAAUGGCCAAGGGUAUAUAUAGCCACAUUGUGUUUAUCCAAAGGUGCUGUUUUGCACAGAUUAUUAUGAACUUUUUCACUGGGAGAGGACAUGGCAUCUGCCUUUUCCGCAGGGCCUCCUGAGUUGCUUGUAAAAUUAAUCACUCCACCUGAGAAGGAAGAGGGACAUUACGCCUUUUUGGUAUCUUCAUUUUCAAGGUGAACAGACCAGUGCACUUUCUUUUCCAAAGGAUUUCCGGAUCCAUUCAACCAAGGCUCAGAAAGGAUGGGAAACAGCAAUGGGAAAAUGCAGGAUUUCCAUGAGCCUCUACAUACAAACCAUCUGGGAAAAUCAUUCAUUCUGAAACUCAUUAAUUAGGCUUUGCUUCCCCCCAUUACAUUCUCCUGGCAAAUAAAUAUGUACCUCCUUUCAUGGCGUAUCCGUCCCACAGCCCUGGUCUAGCUCCCCCAAAUCCUACCAGAGGCAGAGCCAACAGAAAAGUUAUGGGUGUCAGUGCUUGCGGGGCCCAGCACCACAGGCCACCUUUGUUCUCAAAGGGGAACAGUCCAGAGCAAAGGAAAAAGGUCUCUCGUUGCAGAUCCCCACCUAAGGCAGAGCCCUUCCUCACUGCUUUGAAAGUACUUCCUCGGGGUGCCAGUUUAUUUAUCAACGUUCUAGACUAAAACACACCUUCCUGAGCGGGGCCAUGGCUUUAGCAGUUCUGAUGGGCCCUUUACCUUGCUCCUCUCCCCUGCUGAAAAAGAGGGGAAUGAGUAUUAGGAACAGCGGAGCUACUGAAAUCCUGGUCUCACAAAGGUAGAUGUAAACGCUUGGGUCUAAUGUGCACACCUGGGUGAGCUUGGGCAAAUUAGGAAAGUUCUUUGAGAUUCAGGUUUUCAUCUGUAAAAUGAGGAUAAUGAGGUUGUGAGGCUUAGAUGACAGAAUACAAGUAAAGUUUUUAGCACAGAGGCCACACAAUCCAACACAAUACAUGGUAGAAGUAGUUGGGGUGGUAAGAAUAUGAAGUUGAAGUGGGACUUUAGAGCAGAAAGAAUCCUAUGGAGAGUUGACCCUGAUUUCAAGAUUUUCAACUUUUCUACGUCCUGUAACUUUUUCUACAAACUCAGUUGGCUGGCUCACUCAGCAUGGAUAAAGUCUGUAUUCUGAGAUAGGACUGCUUAGAAGGCAGGGGUUGGUUCAGUAGAGUUCCUCAGAGCCCUCUCUAAUGGAGUGCCACUUAAUGAAUGUUCUUGGUUAUUCCUAUUCUGAAAAGACAUUAAAGUUAUAGAUGCAUUUUGAAAAAAUAGGCGUCCCUUUAGUGCAAACAUUCUGAAGAACAAUUUAAAAGUUUUCCCAACUUCACAGUCCCACCAGCCAAUGCUGGGACAUGUUCCUCCAGGCCGGUUCAGAAGAACCCAGCUCAAGAAGCAAGAGGUGACUGCUUCUGGUUUCCAUCCUUUGAAAAAAGGUGGCAGAUAUAUGCAUCUAUUUUGUUUACUUUCUGCUAGGCACAAGGAGGUCAGAGGGAGCAAGGGGACCCAGGUUGUACCGAACCUUGUCUUGGUUCAGGAGCCCACUCAGCAGACCUGCAUUUCCCAUGGAAAGCCGACGUACCUCAUGGCUGAUCCUUUUCUUUUCCCACCUCUUUAAUUGUACUGAAUCCCAAACCAUUGUUCAGUCUCAUUACUGAAAGUUGAGCACAGGGGCCAAAGCCUGCGGCUGUGUGUGCCUGAGAUUAAGACUUUUAUCUGAUCUUCGACAACUUGCAGAGGAAAUCCUGUUCCAAAACUCAGAGCCCCCAGCGAAAGGUUGCCAGCAGCUCUUCCCUCCCACCUGCGAGAUAAAUCAGGACACCUGAAAUGCUAACACGGGCUCAUUGUUUAUAAAUAUAAUAAAUUCACUUCCUGUCACUCUAUUGAUCCCUUCCUACUUUUUUUCUUUUAAACACAGAGCAUAACAAAGUCUCUUGGCAGAGCCCGGCUGGGUGUCCUUAGUGUCCUCCUCCACAGCAGGUCACAAAGCAGAGGUGCCUGCCUAUCAGAGGACUCUCCCUGCAGGUGAAACUCAAAUUGCUGUCUGGGUUCAGGAUUAGGAGUCACAUGGGAGCCCGGCCAGUGCUGCGUGAACUGCGUCAGGCGAGGGCAGCCCUGUCAUCACAAUGGAGGCCCGAUGCGGUUGGAUCAGAGAACACCAGCCUGCGAGGAAAAUGAACUUGCUAGUCAGUAUGGAACUGCCCUGAGGGGAAGUGAGUCCUGGAAGGGAACCUUCACUUCUGCCCGGGGCAGGCCAGAGAAGAGAGCAGGGAUGGUGCUCUCUCCACGCCUUCAACUCCUUACCGCUCUACUUAAACCAACGAGAAGCAAAACUAGGCCAGGCAUGGAAGACAAUGCCCAUUCUGCUCUGAGAUGGCCACGGCUGGCGCCUGUGACAGGGGCUGCUGGAUGCAGUGGCAUGCUGGAAUGGGCUCAUCUAGGUUUGUGAGAGCUGACUGCCACGUUCUUCCCUACUCCACAAUGAGUGACAUCACCUCAGUAGCUUGCAAACGGCCACGUGGGAGUAUUUACACCGUGGAAAUAGGUGAACGCUACACAAACCUGGAGAGCUGGUUGUUAAACAAUCAUCAGCACACAUGGUUGGAUGGACCUUCUUCUUAAUCAAAUGGGGACUUAAAUCCAGGCACGGGGCCCUCAGGCUGCAGCAGGCUGGCUUCUGAAGCCCACGUAUCAGCUCUCUUCACAGCCACCACCGUAUACCUGGCACUUGGAUUCACCCAAAUCUCGGCUGACUUCAUCACACCAAAGGUUUGAACCAGGGCCUGUCCUGCUGAGAUUAGCGUGCAGGCAUCCGAAUUCCUUCUACUCUUCCCCUUGGGGAUCUAAAGCAGUUUCCUGUGGCUGCUUUUCUAAUCUAUAAGCUGUAAAAUAUCUAAUAUUAGCCACUAUCCAUUUAGGAGCUACUCGUUGCCAGGUACAGAACGAAGCACUUCGCGUGAGUUAUCUCAUCUAAUUUCAUUCUCACCAUAGCCUUAUGAAAUAAUCUCCUCCUUUUAUGGUUUGAAAAGGCGAGGCUUGGGAUGUUACCCAGCUUAUAAGUGGCAGAGCUAAGAAGUGAAUUCAGAUCUGUCUGAUUCCAGUGUGCUCCUUCCAAAGUCCAUGCUCUUUCUACUACACAACAUGCCUAUGGUUAAUAACAUUAUUCUUCCUUCUUGAAAAUAUAUCCAAGUGAUAUUAACUCUAGAUAGGACCUUCAAGUAUGGCAGAGUGCCUAGGGCCACGAUGCAAUCAGUAUUACCCUUCCCAAAGAUGAGCCACCCUCCCCCACAGAACACACUUCCUCUUCCCCCUGCUCUAACCCAGCCGUUGUCCCUCCCCUCCUUCAACCUCUACUCAGAAGUUACUUCCUCCUUGAAGCUUUCUCUCAUUAACCCCACCCAGUUGUGAUCACUUCACCAACUUUGCUUCUCCUCAAAUACUUACACUUAAAUUUACACUAGAUUUCUUUUGCCUCAUUUUUACAACUGGAGUUCCUUCGGGUCUUCUUCAUUAAGCUGUAGUUUCUCCCUCUCUUUUGUCCUUCCCACAGGGCCUGGCAAUGAAUGUUGUCCACAGGGGCCUCUUGGGGUUGGCCUCCUUUGCCUUUGUCUGUGGGUCUAUGAAUGGCCUGCUCUUCCCAUCCACAGCAGGGUGCAACGGCAUUCUCCUGAUGAUCUGGCCAAAUGACUUAAGUAUCCUCCUUGUUCUGACCAAAGACACCAUUGGUAUGGAGCUUGGGCAGGAGGUCAGGAGAAAAAGCCCAGGCCACUUCUGUGUCACUCAGGGACUCUCCUUUCCAGCCUUAACAUUCAAUGAAACUUCUGAGAGGACUUCUUUUGUCCAGUCUUGGGCCAGACAAGGACUUGAUUCUUUCUAAGAGGGUCUUAAGCUUUCCCAUCACGUCCUUCCUACUUCCUGCUCCCUUAGAUUGACUUGAAGGUUGAAACUAGCAAUGGAGUAGGAGUUUAGGGCUGGGUUUGAGGAGAUAUCUUUCUCUUUAAUCAAUGCUGUUCUGAAAGGUGUGAAUACAUAGGUGACUAUGAGUGGGUGUUAGCUGGGCAGGAUGGGGCUGAGACAGGAGUUGGGACACAGUUGCACAUAUUACUAGGUGUUUCAAAAGCUUCCAAGUAGACUUAGAGUAGAGGCUGGACCUUUGGUCUUCUGGAAGAAGAUACUAGUAACGUGGUAGAAGCAGCUGGUCUGAUUUGCAUUUGGGAAGCCAGAGUGUUUCAGACAGCUCAGCGGAUGCAGAGAGUCAUUCCUAAGAGGGCUUCCCUGGCCGGUUAGGACUUCUCACUCCUCCCAAACUCCUCUCUGGCCUUGUCCCCUAAUACCCUGUGCCCUGGACAUGCUAUACUUCCUCUCCACUCUAAAGGCCCAGCUGUGGUCCUCAGACUCCCUGCUUCUGCCCUUCUGAUGCGUUAACAGGCUUUCCUCCCGCCUGGCCUACCACUUUUAGACUGGCACACACGGUUUUCACAAGACGGGUUUUUGUGGUUUGGGUUUUUUUCCUUCAUAAGUUUGCAGCUGCUAGUUUUGAAACCACCAGCCCUGAGGCAACUCAGUCAAAAAGAGAGCAAGAGAGAAAGAAAAGGAGAGAGAAUAAAAGAAAGGGAUGACAAGAGGUCUUUCUGUAAAUCAUGUAUUACAUUCAAAGGCCUGUGCGGCAGUCUCGCCCUUGCUUUGCCUUCUCUGGAGGCUCCAGUUAGUGCAAGGCUCCCACAAACCGUUAAGGUCGCUGGGCAUUUGCCUCAGGUGGAUGUGAUGAGGUGUGCUCCGAAUUCCGGAGCCCCUGGCUGCUGUGCUCACAGGUGAGUUGUGAGGGGUGAGACUUUUGGUUAUGAUCUGAAGGGGACCUCCAGCUUCCUAUACUGCUUGAAGGUGUGUACAUGUGUGGAUGUACCAACAUGUGCAUGCUGAGGACAGGGAAGAGGGGAGGGGGAGACACAGGAAGACCCUGAUUGCAUUGUCAAGUAUUAUGUAGGGAUUGUGUUCAGGCCCAUCUAUGGGACAAUUUUCAUAUGCAAACACAAGUAUUUGGCUGAACACAGACUCGGAACAAGAAGAGGAGCCAGAAACAAACAAAUCCAGAAAAAACUCUUCACAUUCAGGUGUUCCCUUCCCCCUCCCACAUUCACUCGCAUUUGUGGCAGCUAAUUAUAGUUUUUAUCUAAACCAAGAGAAGACCUAGCGUCACAGCCUAGAGUCAUACCACUGGGCAGAGCACUGAGGCUUGUCAGGAAGGCGAGAUGUCAAGUUUAUUUUGGGUGGCUUUUGCGUGUCAUCUAUUUGCUGGCAUUCCAACUUGAACCCCAGUUCUCUGUGGGCCUCACAAAAGCACUUUUGCUGGUGGAAGAGGGAGAAUCGUGGAAAGAAAAUGAGAAAUGGUUGGUCCUCCAAGUCAGGCCUGCUUUGACCAGAGAGGGCAGGGAUCAGUCUGGGCUGUGGGGAAUUUCACAGGAAUACGAACAAAGGAACGUCAACUUCUGUUUGUGCUCCUCCUAGAACAAUGAACCCAUUGCGAUCUAAUAUCAAAGUGAUUUGUGGUCAUGUUUGCCCUCACCCUUUCUCUCUACUUGCUCCUCCCCAAAUUUACUGGGGGUCCCUUGAGCGCUUGAGAUAUGUUUUCUUUGCAUGACCUGUAGAACUACCCAGCACAGUGAGUGCUCUGCAUGUAGUAGGUGCUGUAUAAAUGCUUAGUUAAUGCAACUGAACGGAACACUGGUUGUCAUACUCUAACAAAAAUGUGUACUGAUUUUCCUGUCAUCUACAACACAAAAUCCAAAUUCUCUCCAGGCUGGCAUAGAGGUUUCUGAGGGUCAGGCCCCAGCCGUUUUCCAGCUCCGCGCCUGCUGUCCCAUGCUUGCGGCUCUCUUCCUACCCCGGCACGCCCUUUCCCACGGUCACGCUCUGCCAUGCUCUUCGCUCUCCCUGGAGGGAAAAUUUGUCAGGCAAAUUCCAAGUCACUUUAAAAAUUAGCUCCAUUGGUACCUGCGCUCUGUGAAGCCAUCCCCAACUCCCAGCCCUUUCCAGCACACCGAGUUGUCCCUUCAGUUGGUCUCUUGUGACACUUUGUACAGACUAUUGUGAAAGCACUUGCUCUUCUUGAGUGUGAAUAUUCACUUAUGCCUGCUUCCUUCAGGGGACUCUGAAUUAAUCAAAGCCAGGGUCCAGGUCUUAUGCAUAAUUGCAUCCUCAAUGCUGCACACUGCCCAGAACUAGUAGGCGCUCAAUGAAUGUUUGAUGCUUAAAUCAUGAAAGAAACAAUGCGUUCCAUUCGUCCAUUCCUUAAAGUCUGAGGCAGAGUCUUCCUGUACCUGUCCUCCUUCUUUCCUUCUCUUUCCCACACGUGGCCACCUCCGGGAGCGUAGCACAAACGUGGUGCCAGGAAUGCAGUUCUUUUAUUUCCAUUUCUGGAAUGUCUAUAUUCUUGUGCACAAGUUCCAUAAAAUGACCCACAGCCACUGCUGCUCACCACAUUUCUAGGUCUCCAACAUUUGUAAAGACAUUGACUUAGGCCCUUUAUCACCCAAAGAUUUAGACACCCAUGAAGAUGAGCUUUCCUAGGUCACAGUGUGCCUCCUCCAUGAAGCCUUCCCACACUAGCACAAACCCACAGGGAUUUUUCUUCUCAUCUCAAUUUUUUCGGCGUAUCCAGCUUAUACUGCCUGAUCUCCCACUUGCUCCCUGUUGUCUUUAAUUGCUCCACUGCUGUUUUGGACAUGUAUACAGUUGUCAUGGAUAUUUUUCCUCCUGAUUCUUUGGAGACUUCCCCACCCCACGGUUCACAAUACUUGAUAUGUGGUCAGAAUGCAAGAUGAAUGACUGUGUUAGCUGUCCCUGCGCUGACUUUCUGCGCUCUGCGUCACUCCCCAGACUGCGUUUUCCCAAGGGAACUUUACCUCAUCUGACUAGCUCCUGAGCAGGCAAUAUUAAUUAGCAACAUCUCAAUGACUAGAAUUCCUGUUAUGGAAUAAAUCUCCAAUAAUUUACAUGUUUUCCACCCACGUAGUUGCACUUUACUGUGAAAGCCAUACUACUUAGGCCCUCGGUUCAAAUAUUGAUAAAGACUGUAAAAUUGAGGCCAACGUAGCUAAGUAGGCCAGGUGGUUUUUUGGUGUUUACAAUCACCAAAUUGGUGUCUCUAGCCUGCUCUUCUCCCCGUCUGAACAUCCUCAUCCUGCACUCCUGUGGGGGUGCCCUCCCUUCUCUGGGUUGGGCCUCUCUGAGAAGCAUCCCUUGACAGCUUCUCCUUUGCCUUCUCGCCUUCCCCUCCCCCACACCCUGUCAAAACUUGACAGGUUUGCCAUAUGCACAGGACCUUGCUAAGCUAAGCUCUUAUAGUAAAUGCAGUCACUCAAGUCAUCUCGCUGGGUAACUUGCAUUUUGACAUGAGUCUCCCAGAAGCACAAAGGAAUAAGCUCAUGGUGACCAUUUCAGGCAGAUGGGAUACUGGUGAUGGAGACUUCUGGGGAAUGAACCUUUCAGAGCCUCCCACCACGGCUACCUGGGAUGUCUACAUCUUGGGAUGCCUACAUCUAAGGUCAGCUGUGGACAGGGGAGCGGUCCCCCAUCCCCUCCCUGCUCCAGGAUGGUCACAGGGUCUCUGACUCUAAAGCCACUUGGUGGGGAAGGAAUGGAGGUCUCCUCAAUAAAUACCUGGCCUGAGUUAUCUGACUUGGAAUUCAGGGUGUGGAAAGUCAUCCAAAUGCCUUCAUUCCCCAAACCGAACUUCUAGAGAGUCUGGAGCCGGCAAGUUUCAGAUUCAUUUGCGUCAACAUGUUGUUUGGUUAAUGCAGCUGAGCAUCUAGGCCCAUUUUCUUAGAAACAGGAAAUCCCAGUGUGCCAAGAGUAAACAGAUCCCAGCCCCCAAAGGUUUGAGUUCAUUUAGGAACUCCCUGACCACAAGGGUCUGUGAAGCUGUGUGCUUGAGCCAGGCAUGCUCUCCUGCCCAUAAUUGAUCUCGCACAAAGGGAUGGUCUUUCUGCAGCUCAGCAGCUGGAAGAGCUGUGAGCCUGAACCAUGAUCUAGGGAGGCUGGGAAUAGGCUAAGGAUAGGAUCCCGAUGUCAGACAUAAGAUAGAGGAGUAUCAGGGGUCUUUUAUAACUCAGCAGGCAUUUCCCCUGAAAUCCCCACCACAGACUCUUCAAUUUUGGGUGCUUCCUUUUUCUUCCUUUAUAUCUACCAUAAGAGCAGGGAUUUUGUCUGUUUUAUCCUCCAUUCCAUCCCCACCAUCUACUACAGUGCCUGGAAUAGGAGGCACUAAAUACGUAUUAGUAGAAUGAAUGAAUGAUUAAGUGGCACCAUGUGAGUCGAAGCAUUAAUGAAGGGCUUGACCAUCCCAGUUCUGGCAGACAUCAUGCAGAUGUUGCUGGUCCUGAGGGGCUCACAGAGAAUUCUUGCUCACAAACUGGUCAGCACCCACUUGGGAAGGACAGACUCUACUGAAGCUGCCAGGAGGUUCCAGCUUCUCAACAUUUCGUUUGUUGAGCAGCUAGGUUAGUCGGGGCUGGAGAAGAAGAGAUGGUUGACUGGGUAGAGGGGGAAGUUCAGGGGGUGGCCAGAUGGGCUCCUGCUGCAGAGAAGUCCCUCUCCCUGGUCAGACAAAGAGCCCUCAGAAAGCUACCUUCCCAACCUCCGCCACACACGCAGAAGGCGGAGAGGGCCUGGCUUCGUUCUGACGAGGAGCCUGGCUGACCGUGUUGCUGUGAGGGGCAGAGGAGUGGCAGGCAGCUGCCAGACGCGGGAGUCUCUGAGCAGUAACUGCAGAGCCUGACAACGGAAGAAAAGAGCCCUGCUCAUUCAACCGACGACUGUGCAGUGCUCCAGUCGCACCUCGCUUUCCUACAGCACCUGCCUGCCCGGCAUUCCUUCCUAGCUUAUCCCAGGAAAGCAAGGGAGGCCCAGGAAGCAAAAGAGAUGUGCACAAAGGCGAGGGUAAGUCUCGGCUUGUCACUCAAAACCACCCGAGUUCUCUCCAGUUCCACAGAGCUCAUCCUGUGUGCAUCCAGACCCCUCACUGCCUUUGUGUAAAGCACCCUUUGACAGUUAAGUAGGGAGAUUCCAGUGACUUCCAAAUGCCACAGCUAUCUGAAAUUGGGUGCCUUGGGCUCCCAGGGGAGUCUACUAAUUCAAGGUAAAAAUAAAUAAAUUAUAGUACACAUACGUACACUCACAUAUAUUUUGUACACAUCGAUAUGUAUGCAUGUGUGUGCAUAUAUAUACACAUACACAUCAUGCACGUAUAUGUACGAGAAAGGAGGGGAGAGAUCAAGUGCACACACACUCCUCCCCCAUUUGCCCUCACAACAUUGUGAAAUGGUAUAUUUUCUUCAUCUAACUGAUGAGGAAACUAAGAAUCUAAGAGGUUAAGUGGCAUGGCCGGAAGUGGCAGAGCUAGAAUUUGAACACAGUCCCGCCUGUCUCUACAGCCUGGGCUCUUUAGCAGAGAGCCUCUCUCCUUCCAGCGUUGCCAUCCCGGCAGCCUGCUGUGAUCGCAGUGAGUCCCGAGACUCCAUAAUUACUGGGUUCGACUUGGCCUCCAGAAUAACCAUGACAAAAUUUGUGGAAAUGUUCACAACAGCUCUUUACUUCCAGGUUCUGAGAUCAGAAACGGAAGUUUCAAAAUACCGAAAGUUCGUUUAUGUUGAACAUACUGCUUAGGCUAAAAGCAGGAAGUCCAAGAAAGCCUGAUCUCAUGAGGUUUUUCAGCCCAAUUUGGAUCCACAUCUGCACUUCUGGAUUUUCCACUGAGUCCAGCCUCAGCUGCUCAGCAGCUCCUCCCAUUUCACUGACUCUCCGCCUCCAGCAUGGGGUGCUGAUAAAUAAGAAAAUCUGCUGCUAUUAACUAAGAUUUACCCCGCAAUUGGCCAGUUGCAAGGUGGUGAGCUGAGAUAGGCUGUGGGGGGAACAACUGAAAUUCGAAAAAUAUGCAGGUUUCUUUUUGUAAAGCUGAAAAAAACCCCAAGCUCAAACAAACAAAAGCUCUAAACAAUAAGUCAUCCAAACAGCGGCCUCUGUUCUUGUCUCCAGGUGCAGGAAACAAGUGGAAAGGAAUCUUGCCACCUACUCCUUCCCUCCUCAGACCUGGUCUCCUAUUGGUCAGGCUCCAGCCGGGCUGGGAAAGGAAGGGAAGGUGACGGCGCUCAGUGGCCUGCCUUAGAAUGCCAGUGUUGGGGGAGCCCCAGAAGGUUGGAGAGAAUCAUCUCCAUAUCCUGACUCCCACUGUGUGAGGAAUUUUGGAGAGCAAGUCCCUCAUGUUGUGGAUGAGGAAACUGAGGCUAGCAGAAGUUACAGGAUUUGCUUAGGGUCGCACAUCUGGUUGACAGCAGGUGCUGGCAUUGGAACCCGAGUCUACCGCAUCAUGUUGCCUCUGUUUUCAGUUAGAAUAGCUGCCCCUCCUAUGUCUCAGCAGUCAAAUGAGUCAAUAGACAUGAUAGAGGUUUUAAGCGACAAAGUAUAAAGUGAAUGUUAGCUGGUACAGUUUUACCUAUUCCGGUUGGUGGGGUAGACAGUACAGCUGAUGCUAUCUUUAAUUUGAGUCCCUUUCCAUUCCAAACAUUGGAUUAUCUGGGGAUGCCAUUUUCUAUGAGGCUUCUCUGCGAGAAGGGUUCAGAGGCUUCCAGGAACACCUCCCCUCCGCCACCAUCCCUGGCACCACCUUAGAUGUCCCUUUGGGAACAGCUGGAGGACUUUGGAUAAUAAGAAUCCACAAUGCAUUGCGGUUUGGGCUUCUUUACUCAUGGUCUGGAGCAUAUUCUCUUGAAGCAUAAUUUUGAAUCAGCCACACCCAACUGAAACAACCCAGGAGAGGUAACAGACCGCAUCAUAGGGCCCCCCCCUUUUCAGUUUGAGGAGCUCAGGCACCCAUGGGUUACUGUCUCGCCUUGUAACCCUGCUCAAACUGGGUGCAAAGAGGCCCAGCAUGACACAGUUAGUGGCUGUGUGACCUUGAGCCAAUUAUUUAAUCUCGCUGGGCCUCAGUUUCCUCAUCAUAAAACGGUACUUGCCACGUAUACCUCAUGGGUUGGGGUGGGAACUAAAAGAGAUGUUUAUCAAGUGCCCCGUGCACAUGUGGAUGUGGGCUCCCCCCACCUUCCCUGCAGUCCAACACCACCCCUUAGGGUAAAGCCAAGGACCCAAAUGUCUUGGAAGAAGCAGCUCUGAGCCCCAGAAGAACUGCCAGAAUCUGGAAGAACAAGUUUUCAAAUUUGCAGUACACUUUUUUCUUCCUUCGGAGGAAUUUCUUACACUUAGCAAUCAUUAAAUAAAUACCACCUUAUAGCAAAACCUUAAUGAGUCUGCUUUCCUAUUAGAGAGGGCCUUCUGGGAUUUUCCUCUCUCCUUACACAGGUCCUGUACUGUUUCCUUAGCCACAUCACAGGUGCACAUUCUUCGCUGGGUACUCUGGCUUGGGGUGCACUUGGAGCAGGGGUGAAGAGGGCAAUCUCCCCCAUCCCUCGAAGUUGCAGUGGGAGGAAACGGGGCCUUUCAUGUGGCGGGGUCAGGCAUUCUCCCCAGAGCAGUACGUUCCCCGGAAGCCAAGCCGGUGGGCAGAGGCCGAGGCCGCCGCCGUUUCCUCCCCACCUUGGAAAAUUACACAGAGUGCCGCUUUGCCCACUGACUGCCAGGCAGAUGGCCUGCUGCUUUCUGAAACUGUCCUACCUCC